GGUGGAGUCCCUGCAGGGCGUCGUGCUGCACGCAGAGGCUCCCAGUCCCCGACUUCGAGGUAGAGCAGCCUGGAAAAUGGACUCUUCAGGAAACAACCAGACUUGUGAGGGCAGGAACAUCGGACCUUUCUUUCCUGUGCCCCCCGUGACCCAGCAGCCUCUCCUGGGUCCCUGGUACCAGAAUGCCACCUAUAAUCCACUCUCCAUUCCAGGGGCAGGUUUCACAAAUGGAAGUCUGUAUUUUCCAUAUCCCAUGGUGUUCAUUGAGUAUCCUGGCUUCCUCGUCCCUCAGUCCCCAUUGCCCACUGCUCUUAACCAAAGACCCAUAGUCCCUCUGUUUUAUAGCAUGGCACCACAAUACGGUGGCCACUGCGAAAGAAUGAAAACAAAAGACACACAAACAGAAACUGAACCUCAACAGGAUGAAAACUUGAAUGAAAAUGAAGACAUGCCCUCAGAAGGGGACAGCCGUGACAUAGGAAGGGUGGCCAGUAACCCUACGGAUACAUUCUCCCCUGAGAAUGUAGAUGAAAAGAAAGAGGUAGAGAGCAGUAGCUACCCUGAGGGGCAUGUUCCCUCCCCUACCAGGUUGGCCCAGGUCGACAAAGUAGAUGGGACCACUCAGGGUGACACGAAGCAGUGCUGUGCUGCACAAUCUGGCCAAUCCCCUGAGUCUGCAUCAGAAAGCAG
This 690-nucleotide long non-coding RNA is filed under the name Sus scrofa (pig). RNAcentral's name for it is "lncRNA (ENSSSCG00070003090.1)". The record is from RNAcentral. Lineage: Eukaryota; Metazoa; Chordata; Mammalia; Artiodactyla; Suidae.